This 66-nucleotide transfer RNA is filed under the name Candidatus Dadabacteria bacterium. Its description in RNAcentral is "tRNA-OTHER". Lineage: Bacteria; Pseudomonadati; Thermodesulfobacteriota; Candidatus Dadabacteria. The record is from RNAcentral.
UCCCCCGUAGCCCUGCAAGGGCGAAGGGGGAUGGGGUCAGAGGUUCGAAUCCUCUCGGGGGUGCCA